UCCUACGGGAGGCAACAGUAGGGAAUAUUGCUAAAUGGGGGAAACCCUGAAGCAGCAACGCCGCGUGGAGGAUGAAGGUUUUCGGAUUGUAAACUCCUUUUGUUAGAGAAGAUAAUGACGGUAUCUAACGAAUAAGCACCGGCUAACUCCGUGCCAGCAGCCGCGGUAAUACGGAGGGUGCAAGCGUUACUCGGAAUCACUGGGCGUAAAGAGCGCGUAGGCGGGAUAGCAAGUCAGAUGUGAAAUCCUAUGGCUUAACCAUAGAACUGCAUUUGAAACUGUUAUUCUAGAGAAUGGGAGAGGUG
RNAcentral lists this ribosomal RNA (305 nucleotides) under uncultured bacterium. RNAcentral describes it as "bacterial SSU rRNA". It matches the Rfam family "Bacterial small subunit ribosomal RNA", at positions 337 to 659 of the family's 1533-position model. The record is from RNAcentral.